GAUCAUGGCUCAGAUUGAACGCUGGCGGCAUGCCUUACACAUGCAAGUCGAACGGCAGCGGACCUUCGGGUGCCGGCGAGUGGCGAACGGGUGAGUAAUGCAUCGGAACGUGCCAUUGAGUGGGGAUAACGUAGCGAAAGUUGCGCUAAUACCGCAUAUUCUGUGAGCAGGAAAGCAGGGGACCGCAAGGCCUUGCGCUCUUUGAGCGGCCGAUGUCAGAUUAGCUAGUUGGUGAGGUAACGGCUUACCAAGGCGACGAUCUGUAGCGGGUCUGAGAGGAUGAUCCGCCACACUGGAACUGAGACACGGUCCAGACUCCUACGGGAGGCAGCAGUGGGGAAUUUUGGACAAUGGGGGCAACCCUGAUCCAGCCAUGCCGCGUGAGUGAAGAAGGCCUUCGGGUUGUAAAGCUCUUUCGGCCGGGAAGAAAUCGCAUGGGUUAAUACCCUGUGUGGAUGACGGUACCGGCAUAAGAAGCACCGGCUAACUACGUG
This 494-nucleotide ribosomal RNA is filed under the name uncultured bacterium. Its description in RNAcentral is "bacterial SSU rRNA". It matches the Rfam family "Bacterial small subunit ribosomal RNA", at positions 15 to 507 of the family's 1533-position model. The record is from RNAcentral.